GCAUCCGUAGCUCAGCUGGAUAGAGUACUCGGCUACGAACCGAGCGGUCGGAGGUUCGAAUCCUCCCAGAUGCACCA
RNAcentral lists this transfer RNA (77 nucleotides) under Escherichia coli. RNAcentral's name for it is "tRNA-Arg". It matches the Rfam family "tRNA". From Rfam's summary of the family: Transfer RNA (tRNA) molecules are approximately 80 nucleotides in length. Lineage: Bacteria; Pseudomonadati; Pseudomonadota; Gammaproteobacteria; Enterobacterales; Enterobacteriaceae. The record is from RNAcentral. RNAcentral also lists the same sequence under 9 other names.